RNAcentral lists this signal recognition particle RNA (304 nucleotides) under Medicago truncatula (barrel medic). RNAcentral describes it as "Plant signal recognition particle RNA". It matches the Rfam family "Plant signal recognition particle RNA". The record is from Rfam by way of RNAcentral. Lineage: Eukaryota; Viridiplantae; Streptophyta; Magnoliopsida; Fabales; Fabaceae.
GCCGAGUUGGGUAACUUCAACUUGUAACCCAAGUGGGGGCAUGAAGGUGAUGGAACAUGGCUUAAGAUUUGCCAGGUUGGGUUGGUGGCUGCACCAUGCUGGCCUGCCCACUCCAAGUUGAGAGUUGGCCAAUGUGACCUAGGCGAAGGCUUGAGUCUCCUUGGUCCUAGACUGGAGGGCACUGUGUGAGGCUGGUUUCACAGAGCAGCAAACACCUCCGUCUCUUGACAGUGGAGGGAUAACUGGCCGCUGCACUUCUAGUCCAAUAUGCCUGGUGAGCCUAGCCACCUGAACCACCACUUUU